RNAcentral lists this ribosomal RNA (253 nucleotides) under uncultured Desulfovibrio sp. RNAcentral describes it as "partial 16S ribosomal RNA". It matches the Rfam family "Bacterial small subunit ribosomal RNA", at positions 524 to 776 of the family's 1533-position model. Lineage: Bacteria; Pseudomonadati; Thermodesulfobacteriota; Desulfovibrionia; Desulfovibrionales; Desulfovibrionaceae. The record is from RNAcentral.
UACGGAGGAUGCGAGCGUUAAUCGGAAUUACUGGGCGUAAAGCGCGCGUAGGCUGUUGUGUAAGUUGGGGGUGAAAUCCCACGGCUCAACCGUGGAACAGCCCUUGAUACUGCGCGACUUGAAUCCGGGAGAGGGUGGCGGAAUUCCAGGUGUAGGAGUGAAAUCCGUAGAUAUCUGGAGGAACACCGGUGGCGAAGGCGGCCACCUGGACGACAACUGACGCUGAGGCACGAAGGCCAGGGGAGCGAAAGGG